GUGCGGUGUUGAGCACGCGGGAAGCACUUAACGAAAGGGAGCUGCCCCUCAGCCCUCGUGAGUCCGAUGUAAAGGAGUGAAGGAGACGAAGAACUGAAUCAGUAGUUGACCGCCUGUGAGCUGGCGAGCUGUGCCCUGGUAGGGCCUUAAAUCCCAGCCCCAGAAGUCGGAGGCAGGGCAGGCACCCCAAAGCGUGGAAGAGAUGCACCUGCGGAGUGAAAAUGCUGCUAUUGCUUCUAGGGUCAGCCUUGGUUCCUGGAACAAAGGAGCCGCAUGACUCGGGUCUGGCGAUGAUGUUGGGCUCUGCAGUGUCCUCAUCCUUCCCCCUCUCUGGGUAAUGAUAUCUUCCCAGGGUUUAAAGUGUGUCCUCUCUGCCAGUAGCUUGUCUCCACAGCCUCAUCUUUAAUUCCACCUGCCCCACCCAUUUUGGACACUGCAGCCAAGUUGCAGCAGAUCCGCAAACCUGGUAAUCCCUCACUUGAAAGUGCUGGAGGCUUUAGGAUGGGGUUCAGGGCCUGUGCAAUCUAACCGCCUGCUUUUUUUUUUUUUUUUUUUUUUUUUUUUUUGAGACGGAGUCGAAUCUCACUGUCUCCCAGGCUGGAGUGCAGUGGCGCCAUCACAGCUCAUUGCAGCCUCAACCUCCUGAGCUCAAGCCAUCCUCCCACCUCAGCCUCCCAAGUACCUGGGGUUACAGGCAAGCACCAUUACGCCUAGCUAAUUUUUCUGGGUUUUUUUUUUUUGUUUUUUUUUUUGUAUAGAUGGAUUUCGCCAUGUUGUCCAGGCUGGUCUUAAACUCUCGCUCUGUCUCCCAGGCUAGAGUGCAGUGGGGCAAUCUCGGCUCCCUGCAACCUCUGCCUCCUGGGUUCAAGCAAUUAUCCUGCCUCAGCCUACCAGUUAGCUGGGAUUACAUGUGUGCGCCACCGCGCCCGGCUAAUUUUUUUAUUUUUAGUAGAGGCGGGGUUUCACCAUGUUGACCAGGCUGGUCUCAAGACUACUGACCUCAAGUGAUCCCCCCCCCCCCCCGCCUCGGCCUCCCAAAGUGCUGGGAUUACAGACGUGAGCCACCGUGCCCAGCGGUUUUGCAUUUUCAAUUGUGGGGCACGGUGAGAAAAGACUUGAAGAAAGCAAGGGAGUGAGAUCCAUGGAAAUGUAGGGGGGAACCUUGCAGGCCUAUGGAACAGCCAGUGCAAAGGGCCUGGGGUGGGAGCUGCCUCAGGGUAGCCAGGAUGGCAGGAGGCACAGCUGCCGAGAGGAAGCAGGGGCCAGGUCCUGCAAGGUUAGAGGCCAUUGCUACUCCUGAACACAUUGGCAGGUUUUGAGCAGAGAAGUGACAUGAUUUUAGUUUUCUCAGGAUCCCUCUGGCUGCUGUGUGGAGGAAGAGGGGAGGGUGAGAGCAGGGAUACCUCUUAGGAGGCUGUGGUAGUAAUCCCAGGGAGCCAGGAUGGGAGCAGAGGAGGGGACAGGAAUUGGAUUCUGGAUGCAUUUUGGAGGGAGCAUGAAGGAAAGCGGGGUCAAAGGUUCCUCUGAGGCCUUGGCUGCCUCUCUUAUUCAUCUACAUCCAUUCUGUCAAGGACACCUUUCAUUUCUUCUUGGCACUGUCUCAAGGCCACCACGCUGCUGCCCACCUGACCAGCAGUGGCCUUUCCAGGCCUUCCAUCUUCUCCCCAGCAGCUUAUCUCUGCGUAGCCAGGUCCCAUUUCCCACACACCUUUUUUUAAAGUGUGUUGCACUGCUCUGGGUGCAGGACUGUAGCAGUGACCAGGGCAGCUCCAGAUGAAGCUUCUGCUCACAGGAACCUUUUCUACUGAAACAGAUGAUACCUAAACUCUCAGCUGUGUGACUUUAAGCAACUUGCACAACCUCUCUGUACUUCAGUUGCCUCCAUCUUCAAAUGGGGAUUAAAAAGUGUUGACAUCAUAGUGGUUGUGAGGAUUACAUGAUUUGAUAGUUUAUAAAGCACUUAGAACUUGUGAAGAAGAGUGCCUGGGGAUUGCCUAAGGUCAGGAGUUCAAGACCAGCCUGGCCAACAUGGAGAAACCUCAUCUCUGCUAAAAAUACAAAAACUAACCACGCAUGGUAGUGCACACCUCUAGUCCCAGCUACUUGGGGGGCUGAGGCAGGAGAAUCACUUGAACCUGGGAGGUGGAGAUUGCAGUGAGCCAAGAUUGCGCCACUGCACUCCAGCCUGGGCAACAGAGCAAGACUCGGUCUCCAAAGAAAAAAAAAGAACUGCCUGGCUACGGAAUAAGAACUACAUGGAGUUAUUAAAUCAAAAUCGGUGCACAAAUGAUAAUUCUUAAGAGUGAGUGCUACAGAGAACACAAAAGGCAAGGCACAGAGAGAUGACCUGGGAGGCAGGGAAGGAAAGCAUUCCCAGAGACGGAGUUUAGCUAUCUUUGCCCAGGCUAGAGUGCAAUAGCGUGAUCUUGGCUCACCACAACCUCUGCCUUCCGGGUUCAAGAAUUCUCCUGCCUCAGCCUCCCAAGUAGCUGGGAUUACAGGCAUGCACCACCAUGACCGGCUAAUUUUGUAUUUUUAGUAGAGACGGGGUUUCUCCAUGUUGGUCAGGCUGCUCUCGAACUCCCGACCUCAGAUGGUCUGCCCGCCUCAGCUUCCCAAGGUGCUGGGAUUACAGGCGUGAGCCACCGCGCCCGGCCAAUAUUUUUUGUGGAGUCAGGGUCCUACUAUGUUUCCCAGGCUGGUCUUGAACUUCCAGGCUCAAGCGAUCCUCCUGCCUUGGCCUCCUAAAGUACUGUGAUUCCAGGCCUGAGCCACAGCACCCUGCUGGCUUUCACUUUUUACUUUAUUUCUAUGUUGUUAAAAUCUAUUACAAUAAACAUUACUUUUAAAGGAUUUUGUGCACUUCAAUCCAAAUGUCCCUGAAGCAUCUACCUCCCUCCUGGGCCUUCUCUGAAGUCAGAGUAGGGGCAGCUGAAGCCCUCCCUCUGCUGGCUCCAGGAACGAAACCCCCUGGCCCACUAAGGCCCUUCCCCUGGGGAGGGUGGCGUGGGAUAAGAACACUCAGUAUCUGUCUGGCCCUCUCAAGAUCACUGAGGACUUUCCCAGACAGCCGACAUGGUCUUCAGAUCAGUCUGCCAAACGUCACAUAGAGGCUGGGCACGGUGGCUCACGUCUGUAAUCCCAGCACUUUGGGAGGGCAACGUGGGU
This 3168-nucleotide long non-coding RNA is filed under the name Homo sapiens (human). RNAcentral's name for it is "HSALNT0363166". Lineage: Eukaryota; Metazoa; Chordata; Mammalia; Primates; Hominidae. The record is from RNAcentral.